CUCGAGAGCAACAACUAGGCUUGCUUUGGGGGCCAUUCGGCUCAAUUAGCUUUUUCUAGCCUUGAGUCGUUUCCCCAGCUGAUGCUUUAAUUUCAUAGGAGUUGGUGUGACUCAUAUAAAAUAGAAUCACUGGGCCCAGGAAGCCCUGCUCUUGGGAACUCAACUCCAAGAAGCACUCUCCAGCCCGGCUCCUCCACGCUGACCAGUGCUUCCCUCCUCAUUCAUGCACAGCGUCGAGUAGAGGAAGUGCAGAAGAGCCUUGGAGUCUGACAAAUUGGCAGCUGAACAUUUACUCUGCCUCUCUACCUCUGACUUUGGGCAAGUUAUUAAUCUUGCUGAGUCUGGAUCCUCACUGGAGAAAAGUGAGAAUAAGGAACGUUAUAUUGAUGAAAUGAGAUAACUUAUGUACGCAGCAUUAGCCUAAGCAAUUAUCACAUUUUUGAAAUUUCACUUAUUCAUACGCUAGUGACAUCAGUGGGAAUCUUCAGCGUCUACUAAGGCAAUUCGGGAGACACAGGAUGCGCUAGCGUCAGCCUGGCAAGGGGCACACGCAGGAGCACAGACGGCCCUGAGCAGGCAGUGUGGAAGGCCACGUUGCAAGUGGAAUGAGACACCGACCCAGACUCCACGACAGCCAGCAAGGGAGCAUUUUAUCCUGGGGGGAAGAAAUUCUCCUGGAGACAAAUUCAAGCUGGCCCUGGAAGGGUUCCAGGACAGUCUGCAGGUUCUUCACAGACGGAGGCUUCCUUGACGUCUCCUUGACUUUCCUCUUCCUGCUUGAGACGACUCUGGCCUCACCAGUUCUUCAUGCGCACCGUGAGUUCUGGGCGCUGUGAGGAACCUCACAGUUCAGGAAGUCAAUGCGAUCACUCAGUCUGGUGGGGAGAAAAGCGCAGUGUCGUCGUUUUCCCUCUGCCUGAGCCGGUCACCUCUCUCAUCCCCGCGCCUGCCCAGGAGGGGCUUGGCCAGCGUGGACCUGACCGCCCCCGGAGCCUGAUCAAGUGAGCUCAGCAGCACGGGGCAAGCAGGGCUCAGAGGUGCCAGGGCACGGGCAGGCCAGGGUGCACGGAGCUUUUGAAACGAUCAGCACGUUUUUAAAGCGACGUCCCUGUGAGCACCUUUUUAAAUGGCCUGCCCUGGAAACUACUCUCUUUAUUCCUUUCACCAUUUGGAUUCUUUUCAGAGUAUAGCCGGGGCCCAAUAACCGGAACCUUUUGUGUUACUUUAAUUUCCAGAGGGGUUUCGACAGAUCUGUGCAAAGAAAUCGAAUGCCCCCUCUCGUUUACUUUUGGGGGAAGAACAAUUAUUUUGACACCUCCCUAAAGGAAGAACAGGAAAGGAGACAGGCAGCCCCACCUCAGGGCUUGAGGCCACCUCGUUUCCACCUCAGAACCCCAGACGACUGACCACUCUCAGAACGGAGUCUUCCCCUUUCUCCAGACAUCUAGAAGCACGCGCGACCGCACCUGAGCAAAGCCAGCACUGCCUCCUGGGGGCUUGUGCCCCGCUCACGGGCUUGGCCUUGCUCGCCCACACCACACCACGCUUUUAGGCCC
This is a long non-coding RNA of Dasypus novemcinctus (nine-banded armadillo), 1556 nucleotides long. NCBI's taxonomy places the organism in Eukaryota, Metazoa, Chordata, Mammalia, Cingulata, Dasypodidae. The record is from Ensembl.